This is a long non-coding RNA of Erinaceus europaeus (western European hedgehog), 652 nucleotides long. RefSeq lists it as uncharacterized. The record is from RefSeq and is a predicted model, not a curated record. The transcript has 3 exons. NCBI's taxonomy places the organism in Eukaryota, Metazoa, Chordata, Mammalia, Eulipotyphla, Erinaceidae.
CUUUUUGGGGUCCCCCAAGUGAUCAUAGCUCUUUGAGGCUACUCAGGCCUCAAAGUUUGCUGGUUUGUGUAUUUAUUUACUUAUUUUACUUUGCCAGGUAAUCCACCUCCAAGUCCCACAGAGGGUUUGUUUUUUUAAGAUUUUUUUUUUUAAUGAGGGAGAGAGAAACUAGAGCACUGCUCAUCUCUGUCAUAUGACCAUGCUGAGGUUUGAAUGUGGGGUGUCUCUGGAGCAUCAGGUGGGGAGCGGGAACUUGAAACCAGGCCCAUGCAUGUAGCCUUUUGCAUAGUACUAUGUGUGCUUAACCAGAUACGUGUCGCCAUGAGCUUCCUAAGUGGGGGUCUUUGAUACUCCUGCAGUCAAAUGCUUGAACUUGCUAACAACCAGCUGCCUGAAAGCCUUGCUUGAGUCUCCUGAACAGCCCACUGGGUCAGUCUGCUGGGCCACCGGCUGAGCUCCACUUCUGGCUCAGGUGGUCGUUGCCACCUCCAGCACUCUCCUCUGCAGCUUUCCAGCCCCCAGUUUAUGCACCACGGCACAGGGGCUACUUGAGAACACAGGGUUGAGUGUGACACUGGAGAAAGUCAAAGGCCAGCUCUGAAGGAGUGCGUGGACCAGCUAAGGAGUUUAAACAAUAGAUGCUACAACUUUA